CCAAAUUCAAGAGAAGGAGAGAGAAAGAAGAGGCACGAAUUCUAGAGAGAGAGAGAGAGAAGAGAAAGAAUGAGAAGAGAAGAGGAGAACCUUGAAGUCAUAGAGGUUGGUUGAAGUGAGAAUAUUUUGUGUUCUUGAUUUUACAAAUCAAGAGAGGUUUGCUGCAGCAAACCUAAAGCAUUUUGAUCAGGCAAAUUUUGGGGCACAUGGAGCGUGUGGCAGUCAAUGGGUGAGCUGACAUUUUGCCUGAGGUGGCAAGGACAGAAGGAACUAGUCAGCAUAUUGGAGAAAAGGACAAAAAUCAGAAGAAAGGAGAACUUCAUGUUUUUGGAGAAAAAGGGGCAAUAUGGUACUUUUGGAAGAAAGAGGAGAAAAACCUAGAAUACAAAAAAGAGGUAUCAGCUGUAAAUGAAAAAAAAGGCAGCAGCCAUUUUUGGAAAAGAAAAACCAAAAAAAGAAAGAAGAAAAACUCGGAAUAUCAACAAGGAAGAAGGAGGACAAACAAAGAAAGCUCAAGCAUCAUUUUGGAUUUGUUCUUUCUUCUUUUCCUAACCAUUAUUUUAUUAAUUUCUGAGUUGGAUUCUAAUUCUGAAUAUUAUGGGCCGUUUUGAUUAUGGAUUAUUGUUUAUGAACUCAGCCAUGAACUAAUUUUUAGGUGGCUUAAAUUGUUGAUGAACCCUAUGUUAUAGUCUAUUAAUUUCUUGCACUUUAUUUUAGUAAA
This is a long non-coding RNA of Humulus lupulus (European hop), 721 nucleotides long. RefSeq lists it as uncharacterized. Lineage: Eukaryota; Viridiplantae; Streptophyta; Magnoliopsida; Rosales; Cannabaceae. The transcript has 3 exons. The record is from RefSeq and is a predicted model, not a curated record.